GCCACCCCGCGGAGGAGGCCCCAGUGCCACAGCCCAGGGCCCCCGAGAGCUCUGGGAGCCCGGGGCAAAUGCUAGAAAUUUGCUUAGAACGUCCGGGUCCCACGGAAGGCGCCCUUGCCGCCCUCUCUCGGGUCGUAGCUCCCUGACGCUGGGGCGCAACCCCUUCGCUCCUCCUCCCCGCUGGCCGCGGCCGGGCUUCCCCAGCUCUUGCUGCUUCGGGCCUGUGACUUCUGCAACCCCGGGCUGGGGGCCGCGGGGUCUCAGGGCCGGUGACGCCGCACUGGGAGCCGCCCCAAAGAGGUUACUCACCUCCCUCGUCCCGCACAUUAUUCUGACCCAAGAGCCUCCACCCCACACGGGAUUUUGCGCGUCGUCCACGCCCGGCCGGCGGCCUUUGCUGCUCCCAGCCCUGCGCGGCUUUGGUCCCAGCCUCGGUGGCCCCUGUGCCAAACCGGGGACAGGCGGAAGGGAGUCUCCUAGGGACCCUAAGUAGCCUGGGGCCAACAACCCCUUUCCUCUCUGCUCUCCCCUCAAAACAAGUUUCAGGAUCUUGCAGGCCUCGCGGCGUCGUUCUUCGUUGUGGCGGCCUGUGGCUCUUUGAAAAACACGACGAGGCCUGCAAAAUGCGUUUUUCUUUUUUUCCUUUACGCAUGUAACCACGGUCCUGCAUCGUGAAACGGUACGCGCGUCGGUGGCAAAAGAAAAACAGCAGUGGCUGCAAAGCUAAGGGCCCUCGCUUUCAGAGGAGAGAAUUUUCUUUCUCCAUGCGGGUGGAAAGUGGCCUCUGCGGGUCCAACCCCACUUCUUCUUGGGCCCGUGCGCUCCGGCUGCGCCGCAGGGACCGCGGACAGCUUCGCCAAGGCACUGCCUGCCCGCCCGGCUCCGGGUCCCCGCUCCCACUCCCAGCCGCGUGGCCCAACCUCUCCUGGGCUUCACUGCAAAUCACCCCUUCCUCUCCCGCCUCCUAAGUCUGUCGAGCAGACCUAGGGGCCGGCUACAGUUGGGAGGGCAACGGGAAAGAUCAAGCCACAAUCAUUCCGAAUUAUCGCCCCAGACACCUCCCUAGACUCUGGGGAACGAACGCGUGCUGAGCCUCCCCGCCGCUUUGGAGACGGGGCUAGAUUUUCGUUGCCUCCGGCUCUCGACAGGUGCAAAACAAUGAAUUCCAAGCCUCGGAAGCAAAGAAGCUUAGGAUCCGACGGUGGCCGCAAGAUCUCAUCAUGGAUCUGACCCCUGCUCAGCGCGCGCCAUUUCGUCGUUGCCAAACGAAAUCAAGCCCCGCGUGCGCUCCAGGGGCGAAGGACUCUGGACUCACCCCGACCACCGGGAGAGCUGGCCCCUACCCACCUCGGGACCUCACAGCACGCCCUCAGGCCGUGUCGAAAGGAAGGACGGCAAAGGUCCCUUACUGAACCUUUUAAGAGAGCCUGCGCCUGGCAGUUGUCGAUUGCGGACCCAGGCCCGCGCGCCCUCGGACGCGCUGGCACGAGCAGCAGAACUAGAGGAAAGCGAGUGAUCCAGCCUGGGCGCUCCCACCUCCGGGAACGUCUCCGAGAAGGCGCAGCGCGUCGUGGCCAGGACACAAUGUUCUGUGUCCUCCGGAGGACACAGCCAGAAGACACUGCCUUGGAAACAGGGAGUCCAGGACCUCACCAGAUGCGGAACCUGCCAGAGCCUUGAUCUUGGACUUCCCAGUCUCCAGAACCAUGUGUACUCUGCAAGGUUGGUGUAACCCCUACAGAUGAGGAAACCAGAGACAGAGAAGUGAAGUAACUCAUGCAGGUGACGGCAGAGGGCAGAGUCAGGACUUGAACCUGGAGAGCCUGGCUCUAAAGCCCAAGCUGGAAUCUCGAUACUCUACACCUCGAUAAGUUUUUGGGAAAUGACUGACUAAACAGAUGAACGCGUUUGCCCCCCCGCCGCCCCAGAGCCCCCUUAAAGCCUACAUGUGGCAGUUUGGGCCCAUUUCCUUGGCUUCCCUCCCUGGAGGGGCACCCACUGCCAGUGUCCCUGCUGAAAUUUAGCAUCAUAUUCCAUGGCGAUUUUCCACCAGUGGAAAUCACAGGUGUUCUCUGGUAUCACAGCGGGGUCAGGGAUGACCUGAAAUAUUGUUCAUGCUCAUCACAACUGCAUGGCCCACCGCGGGGUCUUGUCACUCAGUGAGUUCUUGAAGAGGCACAGACAAAUGGAGUUCAACAAAUGGAAAACAACUGCCUUUAAUUAGCUCCGAGGACUACAAAGGGAACAACGUUAUAAUAGCAGCAACUCCAAGGAAGCAGCCACAGCUCUCAGCUCUCAGACCUGGGGCUGCCGCUCAUCAUCAGCUACAGCUAGGUUUGAUGGGAGUGCCCCCAUUUCAGGGGACAGCAGGCCCCCUUCACUCCCCGACUCAGUCCCCAUCUGCAGCAGCACAGCCUUCCUUGGCCUCACCAGGGAAGAAGAACAGGCCCCGCUCUCAGACAAGCCUUCCCAGAAGCCUGAGGACUCAAACACCCAAAUGUGUCUGGGUCCCUGCCCCGAGCCGGCCACCCAGGCAGCAGCCCUGAAUCACUCGGUCAGCCAGCGGCAGGGCAGGCCAAUGGGCUGGAGGGUAGGCAGGCAGGCAGACCCACCUCUGCAUCUCUGCUGACUGCCUCGGCUGAGGAAAGGCAGCACCAGCCCCCAACCCUGAAGUUCUAGAUCUCAUGCAGCCUCUCUGUUCUGGAACCAUCCAGAGGCACUGCCCUUAUACAUGGUCCACCCCCAGGCUCAGACAAUGAGAAUUCCACAAGCAGAGGGGACUCUAUUUGGGGCACAGAGAGGUUAAGUAACUCCCCUCCUAAGGUCUCUCAGCAAGGAAGCCACUGAGCCGUGGGACUUGAGCUCAGGGACUCUUGAUCCCCAGUCUCAGGUGUCACAGCCCCAUCUGGGCUCCUGCUAGGGAGGAGGAAGGCAGCAGGGGGUGUCUGAGGCCAGGGUGCAUCAGCCCUAAAUGCCAGACAGAGGCAGGAGAAGUCUCCCCAUGAGUCCCAGCCCCAUUAGAGGCUCCAGGUCGGGGAUCCCAGACCCCCUAUCCUUGCUGGGAGACACAACCCAGAACUCUGCAUCCCUGCAGCCACCAAAAAAGGCAAAAGCUGCCCAGAAACACUUUCUCCUCUUCCGUGGCCAAAUCCACGAACUUUCUCGAGGUCUGUCCCCCUGCCCCGUGCAGGUCCAGCUUCAGUGCAGCCCAGCUCUGUGCAGUUUUCCACAAAAGCCUGUGGCUUCCUUCUCCUCCCUCUGCUUCUGAUACCCCAGGAGUUACACACAAAAUGUUGGCGGUGGUCUCCAGGAAGACCCCUGCAUCCCACAGCUCUCCCCAGAAGUUGCCAGCAGUGACCUCCUGAGCCCAGGUGGGGAGUCCCAGGCAGGACAGGGGCUGGGGCUGCAGGCCCUGGGGCCCUGUUAGUGAAGCAGCAAGCCGAGGGUCCCUGAGAGUUUCCCUUGGCCCCUCUGAGGGCUGCCCUUUGAGGUCUUGAGGUCUUGGAGUAUCCAUCGCCCCCACGGCUUACUGUCCCCACCAGCGGAGGAUGAAAGUGCCACAGCGAUGUUCCACGCCAAGAGACCACAGAGACCACCAACCCCUCUUCCCACCUCAGGCUUUCAGAGGCCAGCGGAUUUAGGCGGACAGGCUGUGCGCUUGAGGGCAGCCAGGGCGGUCAGUGGAGGGACGUGGUCCGGGGCCUGGCCACAGCUCCCCACCCAGGGCCCUGGGCUAUUGUUACUCACCGCGGAUGAAGGUCGGCGAGUAGGUCGGGAAGGAGUCGAAGAUGCUGUUCGAUGCCAUGCCCCGCUCUGAAGAAGGCCAGGCUGCGAGGCCCAGGGUGGUGACGC
RNAcentral lists this long non-coding RNA (3852 nucleotides) under Homo sapiens (human). RNAcentral describes it as "HSALNT0003376". Lineage: Eukaryota; Metazoa; Chordata; Mammalia; Primates; Hominidae. The record is from RNAcentral.